RNAcentral lists this ribosomal RNA (410 nucleotides) under uncultured bacterium. Its description in RNAcentral is "bacterial SSU rRNA". It matches the Rfam family "Bacterial small subunit ribosomal RNA", at positions 133 to 538 of the family's 1533-position model. The record is from RNAcentral.
CUUGUGGGGGAUAACCAGUCGAAAGACUGGCUAAUACCGCAUGAGAUCGAGAGAUGAAAGCAGGGGACCGCAAGGCCUUGCGCGAGAGGAGCGGCCGAUGCCGGAUUAGCUAGUUGGUGGGGUAAUGGCCUACCAAGGCGACGAUCCGUAGCUGGUCUGAGAGGACGACCAGCCACACUGGGACUGAGACACGGCCCAGACUCCUACGGGAGGCAGCAGUGGGGAAUUUUGGACAAUGGGGGCAACCCUGAUCCAGCCAUGCCGCGUGUGUGAAGAAGGCCUUCGGGUUGUAAAGCACUUUCGGACGGAACGAAAUCGCGCGGGUGAAUAUCCCGCGUGGAUGACGGUACCGUAAGAAGAAGCACCGGCUAACUACGUGCCAGCAGCCGCGGUAAUACGUAGGGUGCGAG